Conger conger (European conger) is the source of this 853-nucleotide long non-coding RNA. RefSeq lists it as uncharacterized. The transcript is spliced from 4 exons. NCBI's taxonomy places the organism in Eukaryota, Metazoa, Chordata, Actinopteri, Anguilliformes, Congridae. The record is from RefSeq and is a predicted model, not a curated record.
AUUAAUUUGUGUAACAUGUUUAGUUGUGUGUCUACAGUUUUCUUCGGUAUCUACGCUGUUUGCUGCAUUGAAGCAGGCAAGUAUUGUCUUACUCAUGAAUGAGCUACUCUGAAUGUAGCGUUUGAAAAUUCGAUGUGCCGACUUUACUACCUCUGUCGACUGGAGCGUAACGUUCGCUGUUGUCGGGGUUCCUCACUCCCUUGUUGGUACCUACACUGCUCUGAGUACUCGUGAGUACACUGCCGUCCUGUACCUUGACGGCGAGCCACUGGACUCCUACAGUAGCAGUGGCGUGGUCAGCAUGCCCCGUCGAGCCUGGAUGCGUGAAGUACCUGGCCGUUAUAUCUGGAACUCAACCAAAGGCCGAAAUAUGCAGCAAUGGGACAGAGGCAUGGCGGACAUCUUCAACCACACAGGACCUUACAUGAGUGCUGUGGUCCUGCAGGGGAGAUUUGGCUGUAGAAUCGAGCGGGAGCCUCAUGUGAGCGUUACAGAGGCCUUUGCUCAGUACGGAUUGAACGGAGAAGACUUCCUGUACUUCCAGCUCACCAGGCUUCAGUGGGUGGCUUCAGCAGAGUCCGCUCUCCCCAUUGCAAAGAAGUGGAACAGGGACUAGAACAACACCAUGGAAACUGAGAAAUACAUGAAGCACAUCUGUGUGUCUAGUCUUUUGCGCAGUUUGUUCAUGGAAGAAAAGGAGAGCCAGAAGACAUUUCAGCCCAAUGCUUCGGUGUUUGCCAAGCUGUCCCGGAACCCUGGGAAGGUUAUUCUGACCUGCCUGGUUUCAGGAUUUCGCUGCGGGAACACGACGGUGGAGCUUUAUCGGGAUGAAGACAUCUUGACUGAAGACGAC